This 253-nucleotide ribosomal RNA is filed under the name uncultured bacterium. Its description in RNAcentral is "partial 16S ribosomal RNA". It matches the Rfam family "Bacterial small subunit ribosomal RNA", at positions 524 to 776 of the family's 1533-position model. The record is from RNAcentral.
UACAGAGGGGGCAAGCGUUGUUCGGAAUUACUGGGCGUAAAGGGCGCGUAGGCGGCCCGCUAAGUCGAACGUGAAAUCCCCGAGCUCAACUCGGGAACUGCGUCCGAUACUGGCGGGCUUGAAUCCGGGAGAGGGAUGCGGAAUUCCAGGUGUAGCGGUGAAAUGCGUAGAUAUCUGAAGGAACACCGGUGGCGAAGGCGGCAUCCUGGACCAAUAUUGACGCUGAGGAGCGAAAGCCAGGGGAGCAAACGGG